AUGGAAAUGGAAGAACUGAACCAUGCGUUGGCAGCACCGCAUGUUUCAACGCUGGCGGAGAUGACUGUACAGGGAUUCUUGCUAGCGGCUGAACGUGAGAAGAAAAGACAGAGAGAUGUUUUGGCAGGUUGUACCAAGCAAGCAAGUGCCGCUCCACCCGCUGUUGAUUCAUCUCUCCAUGGACUUGCAUGUUCUCCUGCUGCUCCUGCUGCAGUGCUUCAUUGUUCUGCUUCAGCUCGUCAUGCUUCACCAGAACUCCCAGAACGACCUCACAACAAGCUGCUGAAGAACCUGUAUUCAGACAAGACGGUGGUUGUGGGUAUUCUCGGGGCACACAGGAGUGAGUACAGGGGUAGGGUCCGUCCCUUGAAAAGUGGGCAUGUUCAUGAUGUUCAUACUCCUAGUCGUUUUAUGGUUCAGAUAGAUUUAGAUCAGAAUCUUCAAUUGUUCGUGCUGCCGAAAGGAGUCGAGAAAUUCUUCAAGGGCACAGUCCCUCAGUGCAUAAAGUUGCGCACAAGCAUCAUUGCCACUGGAACGUACAUUUGA
This 546-nucleotide ribosomal RNA is filed under the name Triticum aestivum (bread wheat). RNAcentral's name for it is "partial small subunit ribosomal RNA". The record is from RNAcentral. Lineage: Eukaryota; Viridiplantae; Streptophyta; Magnoliopsida; Poales; Poaceae.